RNAcentral lists this transfer RNA (65 nucleotides) under uncultured Anaeroplasma sp. It matches the Rfam family "tRNA". Rfam says of the family: Transfer RNA (tRNA) molecules are approximately 80 nucleotides in length. The record is from RNAcentral. Lineage: Bacteria; Bacillati; Mycoplasmatota; Mollicutes; Anaeroplasmatales; Anaeroplasmataceae.
GAGUGUAGUUUAAUGGUAGAACCUUAGCCUUCCAAGCUAAUGAUGACGGUUCGAUUCCGUUCACU